UUCCAGACUCCUACGGGAGGCAGCAGUGGGGAAUAUUGCACAAUGGGGGGAACCCUGAUGCAGCGACGCCGCGUGAGCGAUGAAGUAUUUCGGUAUGUAAAGCUCUAUCAGCAGGGAAGAAAAUGACGGUACCUGACUAAGAAGCCCCGGCUAACUACGUGCCAGCAGCCGCGGUAAUACGUAGGGGGCAAGCGUUAUCCGGAUUCACUGGGUGUAAAGGGAGCGCAGGCGGUACGGCGAGUCUGAUGUGAAAACCCGGGGCCCAACCCCGGGACCGCACCGGAUACUGCCGGACUCGAGUGCCGGAGGGGCAGGCGGAAUUCCUGGUGUAGCGGUGAAAUGCGCAGAUAUCAGGAGGAACACCGGUGGCGAAGGCGGCCUGCUGGACGGUAACUGACGCUGAGGCUCGAAAGCGUGGGGAGCGAACGGGAUUAGAUACCCGAGUA
Molecule: ribosomal RNA, 446 nt
Filed under: uncultured bacterium
Lineage: Bacteria
Description: bacterial SSU rRNA
Rfam family: Bacterial small subunit ribosomal RNA
Source: RNAcentral